Molecule: long non-coding RNA, 341 nt
Organism: Neofelis nebulosa (Clouded leopard)
Lineage: Eukaryota; Metazoa; Chordata; Mammalia; Carnivora; Felidae
Exons: 3
Source: RefSeq, a predicted model, not a curated record
CUGUCUCCAGACAUCCGGAGAAAACACAGAUCGAGUUGCUACCUCUGUUAAGCUGGGGAAGGAAAACUGUGAUGCUGCCUGGCACAUACAUAAAAUAUUACAGGCUAUACCUUCAUUGCAGGAGUCUUUAGAGAGCAAAGAUGACACCUGGGAGAACUACUGCCAUGAGUCUUUGCUCUCCCAGUUUUACAGGGCUCUUGUGAGAUUAGCGAUCAUAUAUGUGAGACUAGCAUGUCCCAAUUAGAGGCUGCUCCCUCAGCUUGGAUGACAGAAUGAAACUGCGUGGAACAGAGCUGCAGUGGAUUCACACAACAUGAAGAAUAGGCUUGAUUAAUUUUGUA